AAACUCAUUCUAUGACACGUACGGGAGGAUGACGGUUAUUCGCGUGUCGACCGUGCGACGGACAAAGGGAGUUUGGCUGUCUAAUUAAAACAAAGCAUUGUAAUGGUCCCCUUGGAUGCUUAUGUAAUGUGAUUUUUGCCCAGUGCUCUGAAUGUUAAAGUGAAAAAAUUCAACAAAGCACAAGUAAAUGAUGGGAGUAACUAUGACUCUCUUAAGGUAGCCAAAUCCCUCAUCAUCUAAUUAGUACGUGCAUGACUAGAUUAACAAGAUUUCCACUG
Molecule: ribosomal RNA, 278 nt
Filed under: Olea europaea subsp. europaea
Lineage: Eukaryota; Viridiplantae; Streptophyta; Magnoliopsida; Lamiales; Oleaceae
Description: LSU_rRNA_bacteria
Rfam family: Eukaryotic large subunit ribosomal RNA
Source: RNAcentral